This 76-nucleotide transfer RNA is filed under the name Pseudomonadota bacterium. RNAcentral describes it as "Proteobacteria bacterium tRNA-Lys". It matches the Rfam family "tRNA". From Rfam's summary of the family: Transfer RNA (tRNA) molecules are approximately 80 nucleotides in length. Their secondary structure includes four short double-helical elements and three loops (D, anti-codon, and T loops). Further hydrogen bonds mediate the characteristic L-shaped molecular structure. tRNAs have two regions of fundamental functional importance: the anti-codon, which is responsible for specific mRNA codon recognition, and the 3' end, to which the tRNAs corresponding amino acid is attached (by aminoacyl-tRNA synthetases). tRNAs cope with the degeneracy of the genetic code in two manners: having more than one tRNA (with a specific anti-codon) for a particular amino acid; and 'wobble' base-pairing, i.e. permitting non-standard base-pairing at the 3rd anti-codon position. The record is from RNAcentral. RNAcentral also lists the same sequence under 3 other names. Lineage: Bacteria; Pseudomonadati; Pseudomonadota.
GCCUCGGUAGCUCAGUUGGUAGAGCAGUUGACUCUUAAUCAAUUGGUCGUAGGUUCGAGUCCUACCCGGGGCACCA